GACGAACCGUGCGAACGUUGUUCGGAAUCACUGGGCUUAAAGGGCGCGUAGGCGGGCUGCCGCGUCCGGGGUGAAAUCCCACGGCUCAACCGUGGAACGGCCUCGGAUACGGGCGGUCUCGAGGGAGGUAGGGGCACGCGGAACUGUGGGUGGAGCGGUGAAAUGCGUUGAUAUCCACAGGAACUCCGGUGGCGAAGGCACUUUACUGGGCUAUUACUAACACUCAGAGACGAAAGCUAGGGUAGCAAAUGGG
This 253-nucleotide ribosomal RNA is filed under the name uncultured bacterium. RNAcentral describes it as "partial 16S ribosomal RNA". It matches the Rfam family "Bacterial small subunit ribosomal RNA", at positions 524 to 776 of the family's 1533-position model. The record is from RNAcentral.